AACGCGUGCCCCCCAUCUCGUCUCUCACUUUGUCUCCCUCUUCAGAGAUGACCUAAGCAGAACCGUAGUGGCGCUCCUAAACUCUCCACUAUACCGUGGCGGUGCCACCACCAAUCGCUCCCAAAAUUUACACCAUAGUACCCUCUCACUCUCCUCUUUCCCAAUCCAUAACCCGUUUUCCUCGAAUCACCCUAGAAUUUUUUGAAUCUUGAUUUGAAGUUCGAACCCUAAAAUUCUAAAACCCCAGAUCGGCGGGUUUAUUUUGAGAUAUAAGGUGGAAGGACAUUAUUCGUGUGUUUCCAUUUGGGAACAUACGAUUAAGGUCUACUCCAGUCAAUAAUCAAAGUUUCCUUCCAAGUUGGUUCAAGACUGUUUGCCACUUGGUUCGAUAGGUAUUUCUGGUAUUUCCUCUUUUUUCUUUUUUAUUUCUUCUUCUUCUUCUUCUUCAUCUUCUUCUUCUAUUUUCUUCUUUUUCUUCUGUUUUAUCAAAUCAUCUUUGCAUGUGUUUCUUUUAAUUUAGGUUGCAUGUUAAUUAGUUUUGUUCUCUAGUUUAGUUUGGUGUUUGUCCUUUUUGUUUUUGGGCUAUUGAGAGCAUUUGAUUCAGAAUUUCGAUUGAAUCCAAAUUGCCUUUUACUUCCUCGAAUCUUCUGUUUGAAGUUUUUGAUUUGGAUUUGGGCCCAAAGGAAAAGAAAAGAUUGGCUCAGGUUUUUUUAAAACUCAUACUGGCUUAAAUCAUUGGGUCGAAAUGACCCAUGAGAUUUCUAAGGUAAUUAGCAGGGUCUUAAGGAGUAGCUUAGAAAUUCUAAGUAGGAGAAUCUUAUAAGUGCAAAAUUGUUUUCAACUUUGCUGCCCUAAUACCUUGCCUAUAAAGGCACCAUUUCUUCUUAAACAAGGUAGAGUUUUAGAGAUAGAAAAACACUAAAAAAUAACAAAACGGCUAGAUCAUUUUGAAGCUCUGAAAACAUUGAAAUUUGCAUAGAGUUGUCUGGUUCUUAAGUCCCCUUAGUCCGAUUUUUCAAAAGCUCUGAAACUGGUAUUAAUUCUGGGGUUUCGGAGCUCGGUUAAAGGCCGGAUAAUUGUUGUUUGCUUGGCUAUUUUCUAUUGCUGAUUAUUGCUGUUGUUUCAUCUUAAAUUCUUCAGCUUAUUUACUUUGUUUGUUGCUGCAAUACGGAUUCAUCCAACCUCAAAUGGCGUGUUAAAGUGGAAAUGAAAUGAGAAUGAUAUCAUGUUUCAUAACAGUUUAUCUUAGAGUAUUUUGGUUUCAUGUUCAUUAAAGUCUUGUUAUGUGUUUAUAUGCUCAUUAAAUUGUUACUAUUAAGGCAUCUAUAAAUUUAUUAAGCUCAUUUGAUUGUUGUGUUUUGAGUUAUGAGCUGAUACAGAUUGUUUUUAAAUAUAUUUGACCUCUGCUUUAGUAUUGUUGGUUUCAAUGCGAGUAUGGUAUUCAGAAGUUGAACAUGAGGUUUUGUUAGUAAAGUUGUGGUUGUCUGCCUUUGUUAAAUAUUAGUUUAGGCCUUUGAACAAACUUAGCAUAUGUUAUUGUAUUUUGAUAUGCUGACUCGAAUGGCUUGAGUACUAUGUUGAAACUAUCAAAGAUGCUGCCUCAAAUGAUGAUUAGUAGUGAUUUUGAUUUUCAGAUUCCCUAUAGUUUUCAUGUUCUUUUAGAAUGAAAAGUUUUCGUUUUCUUGAAAAUAAAAGCAUGCUCUUGGCCCUUCUUCAUCAUAAAGGCUUGUGGUAUAGCUAAAAGAUUUAGGUUUUAAUUUCAUAACAAUGUCAUUUGUUUUGUCUUCAAAUGUAUGCUAAAAAUGCAAAGUGUUGAGGCUGCUGGGCUUAACUUGAAGCCCAGAGAAGACCGGUCUGUAGCCAUGAAUUUUGGUUCUCGUGUGGGUUCAAUAUGUUAUCUCCGGGUUUUCAGUAUUUGUCCAUAAUCUUAAAAGAGCUUGAUUAAUUCAAAGGACUAGGUUUUGAUAGAAGUCCCUUUUAAAGACAUUAAUUCAACUUUCAGGUGUCUUUGGCUUUUAUUAAUCUGUGUUUAACAAAUUUUUGUACAACUUAUUGUUUUGUGAUUUGGACUCGACAUUGGCCCAGUCAGCAUAAAGAAUUUAACCUCUUGGACUGCCCAUCACCCACUUUUCCUCUUGGGUCUUAUUCCAGUCCAGAAGCCCAGCAACCGUUUGUAAAUAAUAGCCCUACAAUCAACAACUUUUAGUUAUGGUCCUAAAAAGGAUAAUUCGUUUACUUAGAUGGGGCAUGCCGUAUCAGAUAAAUAGUCUAUGGCCCUCAAAAGCUUAGCUUGAUUUUUUUUUAUAAUUCGAAUCGAGGUGUGCCGUGUCAAAUAAAAUCUCAAAAAGCAUGGCCCUCACUUAAUUAAUUUUAAAUCCUUACAAAUUGAGGUGUGCCAUUUAGUUGAAUUUUCCAUGGCCCUCGCAAAGUUGAAAAUAUAUAGUUGCUUUAGGCGCAUAACUUAAAAUUACCUUCCUAAGCUCAGGUGUGCAUUUCAUGUGACCCAAAUCUAAAUCUCAACAAUGUUAAAUAAAAUAUGUCGUGUAUCGCGGGUGCAUUUCAUGUGGCGCAGUUCAAAGACAUGUUUUAGAUAACAUUGAAUCUUUCCCAAAAAUAGUCAAAAGCGGUUUAAAAAAUUAAAAUAUACCAUAGGCUAAAACAUGUACUAAAAUCAGAUAAUGAACCAAUUAUGAUAGUUUAAACGACGUUGCUGAAACCACAGAAUCCGGGGAUGCUUAACACCUUCCCUCGGGUUAAUAGAAUUCCUUAUUCAGAAUUUUAGGUUCGCAGACUUCAAAAGAAAAGUCGAAAUCUUCCUCGAUUUAGGAUUUAAAAUAAGCCAGUAACUUGAGACACUAGAAAAUAAACCAUCACAAUUGGUGACUCUGCAUAAAUAAAUAAAUAAUUCCAUUUCGAAUGACGUCAUUUUAAUUAGAAAAAAACCCUUUAUACUCCCCUUGGGUGUGUAAACAAGGAGGUGUGGUAGUCAUAUUUAUCACAUACAUGUGACCCGGUAGUUUUCUAUAAGAUUUGUGUGGUAUCCCUCUUAGUAGUUCAAACGCCUUUUCUUUGGUUCUAUAAGCUUUUACGUAACUCAUAUUAAUCUCGUACUGUUAUUUCAUGCGCUCAUAAUGUCUUCCAGAGUGUAUAUUAUUUUUGGAUUGGCAUAUUUGUUGCAAAUUAUUUUUGUAGUGGCCGACGAAGUAGCAUGAUAUUGUGAAAACAUUCUAUUCAUCUCUAGGCAAAUGUGAACAUCAUUGAACCGUCUAACCUUGAAGACAUUUGAUACCUGUAGACUUGAAGAUCUUAGCCCCCGUUUGCAACUUUCAUCCACGCAAGUAAUACAAUACCUAUUUAAAAUAUAGUGAUACGAUAGUGCAUUUCUUCAGAUUUUUAUGUCCCAAAUAAACAAGCAGUAUACAUAUGCAAUCUCACUAUACAAUUAAUUAUAAAUUUGUUAUACAAGUAGUAUACAUAAAAUUACAGAGAAGUAAAAGCUCAUAAGUAGAAAUCAUACCUUGUUGUAGAUGAUCUGUUUACUAUAAAUUGACAUUUUUCUUGUAUUGACUAGUGCUUUAUUACACUAAUGAGUAUAUCUUUUUUCCAAUACUACUGACCUUCUAUAAUUUGUUCUUGUUAUGGAUUGUCUAUAAUACAAUUUUCCUUCAAUGUCUCAAUUUUAUGUUCUUUUACAUAAUUAUCCAUCAUCUGACAUUGUAAACCAGCUGAAGUUGUUGCGAGUAAGUUGCCAGCUGAAGUUAUUGCGAGUAAGUUGCCAGCUGAAGUUGUUGCGAGUAAGUUACCACCAAAGUAUGAACUUGAAUAUGGGCAUUCAGCACUUGAAUACAAAUUUUUCAAUGUUAUGUAUAAUGGAUGUU
RNAcentral lists this long non-coding RNA (3878 nucleotides) under Nicotiana benthamiana. RNAcentral's name for it is "long non-coding RNA (NBEN_LNC015373)". The record is from RNAcentral. Lineage: Eukaryota; Viridiplantae; Streptophyta; Magnoliopsida; Solanales; Solanaceae.